This 511-nucleotide ribosomal RNA is filed under the name Aeschnophlebia longistigma. RNAcentral describes it as "partial 16S rRNA". It matches the Rfam family "Bacterial large subunit ribosomal RNA", at positions 1830 to 2597 of the family's 2925-position model. Lineage: Eukaryota; Metazoa; Arthropoda; Insecta; Odonata; Aeshnidae. The record is from RNAcentral.
GUCUUCUUGUUAUAUUUAGGAAGUCUGGCCUGCCCAGUGAAAAUAAUUUAACGGCCGCGGUAUCCUGACCGUGCAAAGGUAGCAUAAUCAUUAGUCUUUUAAUAGAGGGCUGGUAUGAAGGGUUUAACGAGGUGUUGACUGUCUCAUUUAAUUUGUGUUUAGAAUUUAAUUUUUUAGUUAAAAAGCUAAAAUAUUAUUGGAAGACGAGAAGACCCUAUAGAGCUUUAUAUUUUUAUUAUUAAUUUAUUAUAGUUUAUUAUUAUUUAUUAUUAAUAAAAGUAUUUUGUUGGGGUGACAAAAAUAUAUAAAUAACUUUUUUAUUUUAUUUACAUUGAUAUAUGAAUAUUAGAUCCAAUCUUAUUGAUUGUUAGAUUAAGUUACCUUAGGGAUAACAGCGUAAUCCCUCUCCAGAGUUCAUAUUUACAGAGGGGCUUGCGACCUCGAUGUUGGAUUAAGAUAAUAAUUAGGUGCAGCCGCUUAAUUAAUAGGUCUGUUCGACCUUUAAAUUCUU